GAUGAACGCUGGCGGCGUGCCUAAUACAUGCAAGUCGAGCGAACAGACGAGGAGCUUGCUCCUCUGACGUUAGCGGCGGACGGGUGAGUAACACGUGGAUAACCUACCUAUAAGACUGGGAUAACUUCGGGAAACCGGAGCUAAUACCGGAUAAUAUAUUGAACCGCAUGGUUCAAUAGUGAAAGACGGUUUUGCUGUCACUUAUAGAUGGAUCCGCGCCGCAUUAGCUAGUUGGUAAGGUAACGGCUUACCAAGGCAACGAUGCGUAGCCGACCUGAGAGGGUGAUCGGCCACCCUGGAACUGAGACCCGGUCCAGACUCCUACGGGAGGCAGCAGUAGGGAAUCUUCCGCAAUGGGCGAAAGCCUGACGGAGCAACGCCGCGUGAGUGAUGAAGGUCUUCGGAUCGUAAAACUCUGUUAUUAGGGAAGAACAAAUGUGUAAGUAACUAUGCACGUCUUGACGGUACCUAAUCAGAAAGCCACGGCUAACUACGU
This 496-nucleotide ribosomal RNA is filed under the name uncultured bacterium. RNAcentral's name for it is "partial 16S ribosomal RNA". It matches the Rfam family "Bacterial small subunit ribosomal RNA", at positions 28 to 506 of the family's 1533-position model. The record is from RNAcentral.